GGAAACAGGACUGAAAAGGAAAAGAAAGGUUCCUACUCCUUAAUCCCACUCACUGGUGCAGCCCUCCCUGAGAGUAGGAUGAAGCCACGUGGUCAACCGCCUGAGCGCGAAUAGAUGUUGCUGCUGCUUAGGGGAAAACACAGGGCUUUCAUUUUUUAACACGGCCCCCAAAUACUGGAGCGUCUGGUGCAGGUGCCGUUUUCCACUGCUGUAUCCUUGUGGAUUUUUUUCCUCCAGGGGAAAAAAAGUUUAAAAUCAACUCAAAUAUGCAACAAAAGACACAUUAUCUUCUUGUAUUUCAGCGUUUUACCUUUUUGAAUUAUGCAAGAAAGUGCCACUUCCUUAUUGGAUAAUUUUCUUUUUUGGUAGGAGAUUAAGCAAUGGUGUCUGCAUAUACAGUACUACUGAACGGAUAUACUUGUCAUGUUUGAAUUGCAUACAUAACCUCAAUUAUGGGAAUGAGGAUGGUGCUUUAUGCCAAAGUCGUUUCAAGUUAUUUUCCAAAAAAAAAUUUUAAUGGCAAUACUUGAAGUAAAGCAAAGACAUUUAUUUUUCUUUCCAAAUUAAUCUGAAGGCUUCUUUAAAUAAGACAUCUUUCUUGGUUUCUCUGGUAUGGCAUUUAACUUGAAUAAAAACUGAUUUAAUUCAAUUCAUUGAUGGAAUACAAAUGUGUAGCAUUUAAGUUUCACAGUGCUUGGAGAGUGUUCUGGUUUCUUUUUCAAAAGCAAAGAAAACAUUAAAGCUUGCAAAAUUUCAGGAUAUAGUAUUUCGGUCACAUUUUCCUAAUAUAGUUCUUUAAUUACUCUGAAUUACUGUGUGAAUUCCCAGACUGCAACCCAUGAUCAAAUAAAAAUGCAAAUACAUCUCAAAGUAAAAAUGGGCUAUUUUAAUUUAGUGUCCAUACUAUUUGACCCUAAUAAAAAGUUUAGAUGAGGGGGCAUACACAAUAUCUUAAAAUUUCACAAAAAUUAAUAUCUUCUUGGACUGGGCAACCAUAUUUUAAUUUUUUUUCCUUAAUGAUAGGGUUGCGAACCAGUGGACUGGAAUGUGAAAUGGUUCCACUGCCCAACUUUAGCAUCUAUCUAUCUGGGGAGAAAAAGGGAAACCUUGACUAGGGGACCUAUUUUGCACAUAAAAGACACUGGAAAGAUUUUAAAAAAUGUAUCCAGGCCCCAUCUGCCAGAGAUUCUGCUUUACUUAGGCAUCUGUAUUUUUGAAAUUUCCACAAGUGAUUCUCAAGUGCAGCCAAGGUUGGGAACUACUAUCUAGGUAAAAAUGUUCCAUUUUUUCCCUUAUAGGCUGAAUAAAAUAAUUUACUCAAUAAAAGAAUUAAGUAGUUGUAAAUAAUAUCAACAAGGAAUUAAAAGAUUUUCCCAGUGGGAAAAUCAAGAAACUAUAUAAUGGAUCUGUGUAUCUAGAAAUCCAAAAGAGUGAAGUAAAGUAUAAUCAGUUCUUAGAUAUACUUUACAAGUUGUCUUUAAUAAUGUUUGCAAAUGAUCUAAUCGAGCCCAAAGGUAAAGAGAUGACUGGCAUUACCCUGGUCACUGGUUUCCUAUCUAAAGAUGAUGAAGUACCAAUGGCUUUUGCUGGUGUGAAGAAAAUUAAAAGAGGCAGGGAAAAGUGUUUAUCGUGCUUUUAAGUAAAUACAUUUCAAAAUAUUUUGCAUUUAAAAGUUAAGAGUCCUGGGACUUCCCCGGUGGUCCAGUGGUUAAGAAUCUGCCUUCCAAUGCAGGGUACACGGGGUUGAUGCCUGGUCAGGGAACUAAGAUCCCACAGGCCGUGGGGCAACUAAGCAACUACUGAGCUGGCGUGCCACAACUAGAGAACCCACGCACUGCAACUAGAGAGAAGCCCACACACCACAAUGAAGACCCAGUGCAGCCAAAAAUAAUAAUAAUAAUAAUUAAGAGUCCCCUGGCUUCUCCUGUGUGUGGCUUAUUAACAUAUUUCACUUUUCAUUGGCAUUAACACAGGUACUUUAGGGAGAAGGCUGAUAAGUUAGAAAAUGAAGUUUAUAGAUUCUCUGUGGAUUUCAUUUUUCUGUUCUAUUCAUGGCUCAAUUGGCAUGAAUAGUUGAGAAACUCCUGUAUCAAAAUAAAAUAUUAAUUAUACUUCACAAUAUAUAAAAUUGGCUAAAUAAUGCCACUUGUGUGACAACCUGAAUUUUUAUCAUUGAAACUCUUGUAACCAAAGUCACAUCCUUUACAUAAUAUUUAUUCUGUAUAGGAUUUAUCCACAUACAAUGACGUCAGCUUUAAAACAAUUGACUGUAAUUUGUAUAAACUCAUCUUAUAAAAUAGAGUAAUACACAACACACCUCAGUGAUUUAAGCUGAUAUUCUAGGACUCAGAAAAUCUGAUCAUUCUAAUUCCUAUUUUUGCCACUGUUUCACUGGGUUGUCUUAGGCAGGUUGCUUUACUGUUCUGUGCCUCAAUUUCUUUACCUUUCAUGUGAUAAAUGUCCUAUUUCAUAGAUAUGUAAAGAAUAACAAAAAUUAUUAAAUACUUUGCAAAUAUAAAAUGCUAUAUAAAUGAUAAAUAGUAAUACUGAUCCACUCUAAUAUAAAAUAACUUAGAACUUUCCAUUUAUAAUCUAAAGUUUGGUCCUCCAGUACCUACUGUUAUCACCCUUCCCAGUUAAACACAUCUUAUGCUGUACUGUUCUUAGGGUUUUUCCAUAGUAUUAAUUUUAGGACUCCAAACAUAUAUAACCAAUAUGAGUGGAAAUUUCAAUAUAUCUUAGCAUGACUCAGCAAAAUAACUUUAACGAAUUGAGUUCUGAGCUCAUAAGUAACUGAAACACUAAGCUUUUCAUCCAUUAAGCAGUAACUUGGCCACAUAAAAGCAGUAACUGUUUGAUUUCAUCACUCAGACAUACAAUAUUGAAAGAUUUGUUCUUAAAAAGGUCUUAAGAUAUAUGAUAACUAUAGAAGGAACCUUGUAAAGAUGUGAUUUGCUGCUCUAUGGUUACCAGCUUAUAAGUGCAAGGAGUAACAGGAGUAAUGAAGUGAGACUGUAAUGCUCAAAGGGAAUUCAAAAAGUGAUACAGCCCAAGGUUUUCAGUGCUGGACUCCUGAGCUCUGCAGAGUGUCUGGGGAAAGGUUUGUAGGGAGCUUAAACCAGAGCAGCUCUGUCCUUUAGAGUUUCCUUAAAUGUUGAACUUCUCUAUGAAACAAUUCAUUUGAAGAAGGGUUUCUUGGGUAAAAAAAAAUCUUUUAACCCACUGGCCUAGUCAAUUUUGCUUCCUCCAGACAGUAGGCACGACUCAGUGGUGCUUUAUUUUGCAAAACUUCAUCCUAUCAACCGGAUCUUGAGGACCAUAGAUUUAGAAGGGUGUUCAGAAGCUGAUAAAACAGCAUUCUUGUAAGAGCAAACUUUGGUCUAACCAACUUCCAUUAUUUUCCUAACAUUAAAAAGAAAAAGGGCUUCCCUGGUGGCGCAGUGGUUGAGAGUCCGCCUGCCGAUGCAGGGGACACGAGUUCGUGCCCCCGUCCGGGAAGAUCCCACAUGCCGCAGAGCGGCUGGGCCCGUGAGCCCGUGAGCCAUGGCCGCUGAGCCUGUGCGUCCGGAGCCUGUGCUCCGCAACGGGAGAGGCCACAACAGUGAGAGGCCCGCGUACCGC
Long non-coding RNA from Phocoena sinus (vaquita), 3621 nucleotides. NCBI's taxonomy places the organism in Eukaryota, Metazoa, Chordata, Mammalia, Artiodactyla, Phocoenidae. The record is from Ensembl.